Molecule: non-coding RNA, 352 nt
Organism: Paramuricea clavata
Lineage: Eukaryota; Metazoa; Cnidaria; Anthozoa; Malacalcyonacea; Plexauridae
Source: the annotation of a GenBank genome assembly
CAGUACAUAGGAAGUAUCCUACUGUAAGCUGCCAUAAUUUAUGUCUGAAUUGCCUAAAAAUACAUUAUCUCAAACACUGGGGGUCCAGUGGUGGUAGUAUUCUACAAUAAGCUGUCGUGGUAGUUCAGACACAAACCUGGCCCCCCACUUUUGAGAUAUCUUUUUCAGGUAGUUAAUUUAGAGACAAACCACUCCAGCUGUCAUGGUACUAAAAUGCGGGGGAUGUCUGGGAAGGAUGAUGUCUUUGUUUAUAUACUAGAAUAAUGUCUGCAAGUACUAGAAUGAUGUCUUUGUGUAUAUACUAGAAUAAUGUCUGCAAAUCAACGUUGUCUUAGCCGAGAAAAUCAAAGCU